AAACCUUCAAGCCCUGCUUGGUGUUGGGUGCCUGUCCCGCCUCCGCGCGUGGACUCACCUCAAAUCCAUUGGCGGCCCCCGCGUCGGCCACGAGCGCAGCAGAAACGCGAACUCGUGAGCCCGUCCGGGCGGCUCCCAGAAGCUAACCCCCAAU
RNAcentral lists this unclassified non-coding RNA (154 nucleotides) under uncultured Preussia. RNAcentral describes it as "partial internal transcribed spacer 2". Lineage: Eukaryota; Fungi; Ascomycota; Dothideomycetes; Pleosporales; Sporormiaceae. The record is from RNAcentral.